Long non-coding RNA from Musa acuminata AAA Group (dessert banana), 1412 nucleotides. RefSeq lists it as uncharacterized. The record is from RefSeq and is a predicted model, not a curated record. The transcript has 6 exons. NCBI's taxonomy places the organism in Eukaryota, Viridiplantae, Streptophyta, Magnoliopsida, Zingiberales, Musaceae.
UUCUCUUCGAAUCUGCCUGCUUUCGAGUUUGUUUACUCGAUUAUCGUUUUAUCUUCGCUUUCGAUCGAUCUAAUAUGUGUUUGGAUGAUGUAUUUUUUUCCACUUCGCCGCCAAAUUCAGUGACGAUUUCUCUUUUGCUUCUUAUCCUUUUUUUUUUUUUUCUUUUUUCCUUGUGAUUUGUUGGUUGAAAAGUUAGUGUUAUUGUUGGUUGAUUCCUCCAUCGCCUUAUCGACGGGUUAGGGUUUCGAGAUUUCCUUUUCUUUUCUGGGUCUCAUGCGAUGGCCGGCGGCCUGACUGCAGGUGAUCAAGUGUUUGAUUUUUAGUCGAGUUAUUUGUUGCUUGUUGUACUCCCUCGUUAACAACUCGGGAGCGCGGUGCAGAUUGCGGUGCAAAUGGUAAGUUAUGGUGUUCUGCAAUGCUAGUGUUACUGUAGAGGGAUUACGAAGAUUUACUAUCGGAAAUCGUAACAUAUAGGGAAACUAAAUUGUUGAUACAUUGUGUCAUCCUGUUGAGUGUGUCAAACUUGUUAAUAAACUGCAUUAAACAACAUUCUCUUCUCCGUGCAGAGAAAGACGUUCGCUUUGAUUUUCUCUAUCUAUGUCUAAGAAUGUUUGCUUUUAUCUAUCUAGUCAGGUAGGAAGGAAACAGUUCAUGAUUUGGCGAAGUUCAUCGACAUAGGCGUCCAGGUCAAGUUAACUGGGGGAAGACAAGAAAGCUGCUUGUGUACAUCGAUAAGGACCAUUAGAAGUAAACCAGGUAGGCAUAUGUUGAAGUGAAAAGGUUAUGAUCAGCUGCUAAACUUGGUGCUAGACAAAGCGACAGAGUUCCUGAGAGAUCGUGAUGAUCCACUGAAGACAAUGAUCAAACCAGGCGCCUUGGUCUAAUCAUAUGUAGGGGGCCUGCUGUAAUGUUGGUCUCGCCGACAGAUGGAACAGAUGAAAUUGCAAACCCCUUUAUCCAACCGGAUGGAACAAGAUGUCGAUUUUAUUUGCUGGCAUGCUCUCUGCUUGGCUCGGAACAAUACUCGGACAACAGAAGGAAGAAGGCACGGCAUGAAUAAGCUGCCACCGCAGGAACUGCGGGUCACAUGGUCCUCCUCCUGCCGUAAGAAGAAGCUGCAGAGAGGAAGACGAGACGAGGUGGGCUGGCGGGGGUCCUCGCUUUUCUUCGGCCUCCUCGAUACAAGGAUGGGGUGGACCGCCUCCACCUCUUCCCCUUCGCUCCGGGAUAAACUGCAACCGAACAAUUAGCGGAACGUGCCAUGCUGGUCGCCCGAUAUGAUGAUAAGCCGCAGGCCAUCAUCACCUCGUCCUAACUAUAUGAUGGUACGGUUCCAUGCUUCCUCUUCCUUCUAUGCUAUAAACUGAUUUGGAUCAUCUAAUCUCUAAAAUAACAUAUGCUCAUUCGAGGAA